Molecule: ribosomal RNA, 401 nt
Filed under: uncultured bacterium
Lineage: Bacteria
Description: bacterial SSU rRNA
Rfam family: Bacterial small subunit ribosomal RNA
Source: RNAcentral
GACGAACGCUGACGGUGUGCUUUAGACAUGCAAGUCGAACGAGAAAGCCCUUCGGGUUAGUAAAGUGGCGAACGGGUGAGUAACACGUGGGCAAUCUGCCCCUCGCAGGGGGACAACCGGAGGAAACUCCGGCUAAUACCCCGUAAGUUCAAAGGGAGGCAUCUCUCUUCGAAGAAAGGUAGCUUCGGCCAUCCGGCGAGGGAUGAGCCCGCGGUGCAUUAGCUAGUUGGGUGGGGUAACGGCCUACCAAGGCGACGAUGCAUAGCUGGUCUGAGAGGAUGAUCAGCCACACUGGGACUGAGACACGGCCCAGACUCCUACGGGAGGCAGCAGUCGGGAAUCUUGCGCAAUGGGCGAAAGCCUGACGCAGCAACACCGUGUGUGUGAGGAAGGCCUUAGGG